Podarcis lilfordi (Lilford's wall lizard) is the source of this 72-nucleotide non-coding RNA. NCBI's taxonomy places the organism in Eukaryota, Metazoa, Chordata, Lepidosauria, Squamata, Lacertidae. The record is from the annotation of a GenBank genome assembly.
AGGAUUGUAGCUCAGUGGUAUAGCCCCUGCCUUGCAAGCAGAGGGUCCCAGGUUCAACCCCUGACAUUCUAG